CGGGAUAUAGCGCAGUUUGGUAGCGCGCUGCUUUGGGAGCAGGAUGUCGCAGGUUCAAAUCCUGCUAUCCCGA
Molecule: transfer RNA, 73 nt
Filed under: Neogoniolithon spectabile
Lineage: Eukaryota; Rhodophyta; Florideophyceae; Corallinales; Spongitidaceae
Description: tRNA-Pro
Rfam family: tRNA
About the family: Transfer RNA (tRNA) molecules are approximately 80 nucleotides in length. Their secondary structure includes four short double-helical elements and three loops (D, anti-codon, and T loops).
Source: RNAcentral